Long non-coding RNA from Mercurialis annua (annual mercury), 705 nucleotides. RefSeq lists it as uncharacterized. Lineage: Eukaryota; Viridiplantae; Streptophyta; Magnoliopsida; Malpighiales; Euphorbiaceae. The transcript has 4 exons. The record is from RefSeq and is a predicted model, not a curated record.
UUUCUUUCUUCUUCUCUACCAAACAACUCAUUCUUCUUUGUCUGUUCCAAUUUAACAAUAAAAAUAAAAGGACCGUCACAACCAUGGUGAGUACUAAAGUCCAGAAGAUUAUGACCCAACCAAUUUAACUUGAAGGACGCCGGAGAAGAAUGGUAUGUUGCCGCGGAUGAAAAAACCACCGUACAUGCACACCCACCAUCUCAUCAAUCACCAAAUAUUAAAGAAAAUAUUUUAUUUUCUCUCUGAAGCAUUUUAACUAACACCUAGGAAGCAAAAAUGGCAGCCAAACUGAGACAGACUUUUGGAUUGGCUGCAAGAGACCCAUCUGAGAAACAUGAUGAAUGGAGCACUUAUGUUUACCCUCUUGUUCAUGGGUCCUUGAGUUUCUGUGCUCCGAAGAAGAAGCUAACUCGAGAGUAAAUUAAAAAUUCAUAUAUGCAGCAUAUCAAAGCAAAGUGGUUUUCAUCUUCUAUGGUGGUUCUUGAGGCGGAGGCGGCAGUUGGAGUUUAAAGGUGGAGUCGGAGCAAAAGUAAAUAUCGGUUGGAGUUUUAACUGUGUUUGAUGUUUGAAAAUGGAUAAAUUGAAUUUGUAUAUAAUUGAAAAUAAAAGGAAAAAAGGAUAAAAGGGUCCCCAAAGGUUAUAUUUGAACCUGUUACCAAGAAAUUCAUUUUCCUAUAUGGAAUAUAAUUUAUGCAUUUUCUGUUA